Cervus hanglu yarkandensis (Yarkand deer) is the source of this 4795-nucleotide long non-coding RNA. The record is from Ensembl. NCBI's taxonomy places the organism in Eukaryota, Metazoa, Chordata, Mammalia, Artiodactyla, Cervidae.
AUGGACUGUCUAGUCCAAGGGGUCGCAAAGAGUCGCGGACACGACCGAGCGACUUUCAUUUUCACUUUCCUGUCCUUAAACAACCUGUACCCGCCUACCUUCUUUGCAGCUUCUCUCAGGAUGCUUUUCUUUUUUUUUUUCUUUGAAAUUAAAUCAAAACAAAAAGGGCUGCAAGGAAAGAGUAAGCAAGUGCUAGGUUCAGGAAGGACAGGGUGGUACUGGGAGCAGCUGACCAGAUCCAAGCUUGAUGGAGACCUGGCGUCUGUGGCCAUUGCCCUGCCUGGCCCCUGGGGGUCAUCCUGCUGGCAGGAGAGACCUCAGUGAUCAGCCUUAUGUCUUGGGAUCUAGCCUGAUUACUCACCUGCCUGGAUGACAAGGAGAUCUAUUUAAAACUUUAAUGAAGGGACCUAAGAUUUUUCAUUCUGCUGCUUGAAUCUACUCCUAGUAUGGCAUCAGAAACGUUGGCUCACCAGUCUUAAGGAUGAGAUGUUCGAGUCGCAAAGCAAGCUCUUUGUUUCACAAGUAAAAAGACCUCCUUGCGUAGCCAGGAGAGUGAUUCCAGGUCUCCCUCAUUCACUCUGAACGCCUCCGUCUAGUUUCUGGGUUCGGAUGCAGGGUGUUGGCUUAUUGCCAGCUGGACAUUAGCAGGAGAAGGUCAGAAGACCCCAGGUUCUGCUGCUGCGUCGAAACCAUUGACCUGCUGUGUCUGGGGCCUCACUUCAUGACUUUGGCUACCAUUUCUUCGCUUGGAAUCAAAACGACCCCUUCGUGAAACACCUCCGAAGGCUGUUGAGAAGACCAAACAGAGAUGGGAGAUUGUGAGAAUACUUCUAAAACCACAGUGAGUUCUGCAGACAGAGCUCCUAAUAGUGGAUCAUUUAAUGCUCAGCCUGUUGAGAACCUUUGUAUCCUGGUCAUAUACCGGGGCACCUGGCUGGAAGCAUCCUGAGAUGCAGCCUUAGGAAUGAACAAGGCGCGCUUUCCUCCCUCAAGUCACUUCCGUGGAGCCCCUUGAACUUGAAGAAUUUGAAGGCCAUUUAUUUAUUUAUUUUUUAAAUGACUGGGCAGGGAUUAAAGUUCUGUUUCCCAGAGGUAAUUCCACCAAACAGGAGUGUGAUUUCAUUUUAAAGCUUUAAAAAAAAAAAAAAAGUGUUUUGAUGAAUCUCUCUGGGCUUCAUUUUUCUAAAUAAGUACGUUUAUUUGCCUUGAGAAUCUCAAUGAGUAUUGCCGUGAACGUCUUUCUAGCUAACAAAAUGAGUGUGUUCCCUAUUUUUAUCUCAGUGUUGUAAUGAUUUGAAAGAGUGCUGAGCCCAUGAAAUUAUUUGUGGUUUUUCAACUUUGGGAACAUUCCUGGCCUUCUUCUGACAGCAGCAGGCUAGAACAUAUACAAAGUCGGUGCUGUUAAUAUUUCCUAGUUGUUGUCCACUGACUAGGCAUCUUUCAUGUUUGCUUGUUUUUUAAAUCUUUUUCCAUGCCAUGAAACAUGUGGGAUCUAAGUUCCCCCACCAGGGAUUGAACCCAUGCCUCCUGCAUUGAAAGCCCAGAGUCUUAACCGAUGUACUGCCAGGGAAGUCUCAAGGCAUCUUUAAUACAAGCAUUGUCCCUUCUUCAUUUUUAAGAAUCAUUCCCAAUUUACUUUUUCCUCCUAUCUGCAUGCAAAAUUUUGCCAAUUUUUCUCACAGUUUCAUUUUGAGUUACCUUUUCUUUCCCCUGCAUCAUGACUGUUUUUGUAUCACUACCUCGGAAAUUCACUGCUCUUGCAUUUAUGAGACCCAGUGAGGUUUGUUAUACAUUUGUAAAAUGCUUCAAAUCUGCGCACCUGCCCACACCCACACCUGCAACGCCCAGCAGAGUGGGGGGAAUUUUGUCCCAGAAGAUAGCUCUCAUCCAGUCUCAGAAAGGUCUUAGGUCUGUAAGUGGAAAAAGUUUUAUACUCUUGCUCAGUCUUAUUUCGUUAAGAAUUUUAAGUCAAGAAUGAAAUUUUAAUUUUAUCAAAAGCUCUUCCAAACUUACAGAGAAGAUCAUAAGCAUUUUUUUUUUCCUUUUGGUCUAUUUAAACGGAAGACUGUGUGGCUGUUAUUGUUCGGUCACUCAGUUGUGUCCGACUCUUUGUGACCCCAUGGACUGCAGCACGCCAGGCUCCCCUGUCCUUCACUAUCUCCCGGAGUUUGCUCAAAUUCAUGUCCAUUGAGUUGGUGAUGCCAUCCAACCAUCUCAUCCUCUGUCAUCCCUUUCCCCCCUACCCUCAAACUUUCCCAGCAUCAGGGUCUUUUCCAAUGAGUUGGCUCUUGGUAUCAGGUAGCCAAAGUACUGGAAUUUCAGCAUCAGUCCUUCCAAUGACUAUUCAAGGUUGAUUUCCUUAAAGGAUUGACUGGCUUGAUUUUGAAGUCCAGGGGAAUCUUAAGAGCCUUUUCCAGCACCACAGAUUAAAAGCAUCAAUUCUUUUGUGCUCAGCGUUCUUUGUAGUCCAACUCUCACAUCUGUACAUGACUUCUGGGAAAACCAUAGCUUUGACUCUGUGUUCCUUUGUUGGCAUAGUGAUGUCUUUGCUUUUUAAUACACUGUCAUAACUUCAAAGGAACAAGAGUCUUUUACUUUCCUGGCUGCAGUCACUGUCCAAAGUGACUUUGGAGCCCAAGAAAAUAAAAUGUCACUGUUUCUGCUUUUUUCCCCAUCUAUUUGCUAUAAAGUGAUGGGACCAGAUACCACAAUCAUAGUUCUUUGAAUGUUGAGUUUUAAGCCAGCUUUUUCACUUUCCUCUUUCACCCUCAUCAAGAGGCUCUUUAGUUCCUCUUUGCUUUCUGCCAUUAGAGUGGUAUCACCUGCUUAUCUGAGGUGGUUGUUAUUUCUCCCAGCAAUCUUAAUUCCAGUUUGUGAGUCAUCCAGCCAGGCAUUUCACAUGAUGUACUCUGCAUAUAAGUUAAAUAAGCAAGGUGACAAUACACAGCCUUGACAUACUCCUUUCCCAAUUUGAAACUAUUCCAUUGUUGUGUGUCUAGUUCUAACUGUUCGUUCUUAACUCAAUACAGGUUUCUCAGCAGACAGAUAAGGUGGUCUGAUAUUCCCAUCUCUUUAAGAAUUGUCCAGUUUGUUGUGAUCCACACAGUAAAAGGCUUUAGCGUAGUCAAUGAAGCAGAAAUAGAUGUUUUCUGGAAUUGCCUUGCUUUCUCUAUGACCCAACAAAUAUGGGCCAUUUGAUCUCUGGUUCCUCUGCAUUUUCUAAAUCCAGCUUGUAUAGCUGGAAGUUCUCAGUUCACAUACUGCUGAAGCCUAGCUUGAAGGAUUUUGAGCAUUACUUUGCUAGCAUGUGAAAUGAGCGCAAUCGUAUGGUAGUUUGAGCGUUCUUUGUCAUUUCCUUUCUAUGGGAUUGGAAUGAAAAUUGACCUUUCCCAGUCCUGUGGCCACUGCUAAGUUUCCAAAUUUGCUGACAUAUUGAGUGCAGCACUUUAACAGCAUCUUCUUUUAGGAUUUGAAAUAGCUCAACUGGAAUUCCAUCACCUCCACUAGCUUUGUUCAUAGUGAUGUUUCCUAAGGCCCACUUGACUUCACACUCCAGGAUGUCUGACUCUAGGUGAGUGACCACACCAUUGCAGUUAUCCAGGUCAUUAGGACUUUUUUGUGUGUAGUUCUUUCGUGUAUUCUUACCACCUCUUCUUAAUCUCUUCUGCUUCUGUUAGGUCCUUGCCGUUUUUGUCCUUCAUCAUGCCCAUCUUUUCAUGAAACAUUCCCUUGAUAGCUCCGACUUUCUUGAAGAGAUCUCUAGUCUUUCCCAUGGUAUUAUUUUCCUCUAUUUCUUUGUGUUGCUCACUUAGGAAGGCUUUCUUUCCUCUCCUUGCCCUUCUCUGGAACUCUGCAUUCAGUUGUGUAUCUCUUUCCCUUUCUCCCUUGUCUUCCACUUCUCUUCUUUCUCAGCUGUUUGUAAAGCCUCCUCAGAGGCUUAGCAAGUAUAAUGAGCAGCUUUACUCACGAAGGUGUGAUGGGUGACACGCUUUUCUCGUGGCUUCUCUGGUUCUUUGGAAGUUGUUUAUGUAAAUACUUCUGUACAAAGGCCACUGUUACUGUGACUGGCAGUGUGUUCACCGCGUUGCUCUCGUGGCGCUGCUGGUUCUUAAGCUCCUGUUACUGCUGCUCACACCUGGGCUGCAGUUAGUUCACUAUUUCAGUAAUUCGACCUCUGCCGCUGCUUCUGCUAUGUGUAUGUCCUCCAGUGCAACUGCUUCUCCGGGUGUUACUAUGGUACUGUUAUCACCUCGACCGCUGUUUGGGCAUUUCAAUGAUUUUGGGGCAUUUUAGUGUAAAAGAACCUCCAGGACUAGAAGCCAGAGGUCAAGGCGUGAUUCUAGUUUGGCCACAAAUCAGGAGAAGCUCGCUCACCGUCUGAGUAGGUUUCCCCACCUGACAAAUGCAGUGCCACCUUUUUCCAAGUCCCCCCAGAGAGUCGCCAUGAGAUUCAAAUGAGAUAACGUUCUGCAAAGACACUGAGUCCCGAGAGGUUACCUGGGAGGUUCUGAUGCCUUGGCUUCUUUCUUCAUUUGUCCCAGAAAGACUCAGCCCUGUGUGUGUAUGUGUUGUGUGUGUGUGGUGUUGUGUGUGUGUGGUGUUGUGUGUGUAUGUGUUGUGUGUUUUAUGUUGUGUGUAUGCGUUGUGUGUAUGUGUGGUGUGUGUAUGUGUUGUGUGUGUACGUGUGUGUGUAUGUGGUGUGUGUGUAUGUGGUGUGUGUAUGUGGUGUGUGUGUGUGUGUGGUGAGUGUGUAUGUGGUGUGUGUGUAUGUGUGGUGUGUGUGUGUGGUGUGUGU